This 505-nucleotide ribosomal RNA is filed under the name uncultured bacterium. RNAcentral's name for it is "bacterial SSU rRNA". It matches the Rfam family "Bacterial small subunit ribosomal RNA", at positions 17 to 518 of the family's 1533-position model. The record is from RNAcentral.
UCCUGGCUUAGGACGAACGCUGGCGGCGUGCCUAACACAUGCAAGUCGAACGGACGAGGGGAGCUUGCUCCCCAAGUUAGUGGCGGACGGGUGAGUAACGCGUGGGUAACCUGCCUUAUACAGGGGGAUAACAGUUAGAAAUGACUGCUAAUACCGCAUAAGCGCACAGUAUCGCAUGAUACAGUGUGAAAAGCCGAGACGGUAUAAGAUGGACCCGCGUCUGAUUAGCCAGUUGGCAGGGUAACGGCCUACCAAAGCAACGAUCAGUAGCCGGCCUGAGAGGGUGAACGGCCACAUUGGGACUGAGACACGGCCCAGACUCCUACGGGAGGCAGCAGUAGGGAAUUUUCGGCAAUGGACGAAAGUCUGACCGAGCAACGCCGCCGUGAGUGAAGAAGGUUUUCGGAUUGUAAAGCUCUGUUGUAAGGGAAGAACAGCACGGAAAGAAUCCGUGAAUGACGGUACCUUACCAGAAAGCCACGGCUAACUACGUGCCAGCCGCCGC